Molecule: transfer RNA, 71 nt
Filed under: Camelus bactrianus (Bactrian camel)
Lineage: Eukaryota; Metazoa; Chordata; Mammalia; Artiodactyla; Camelidae
Also listed under: 2 other names
Rfam family: tRNA
About the family: Transfer RNA (tRNA) molecules are approximately 80 nucleotides in length.
Source: Rfam by way of RNAcentral
GUGGGUACAGUUCAGUGGUAGAGCGAACACUUAGCAUGUACAAGUCCUGGGUUCAAUCCCCAGUACCUCCA